GACGAACGCUGGCGGCGUGCUUAACACAUGCAAGUCGAACGGAAAGGCCCUGCUUUUGUGGGGUGCUCGAGUGGCGAACGGGUGAGUAACACGUGAGUAACCUGCCCUUGACUUUGGGAUAACUUCAGGAAACUGGGGCUAAUACCGGAUAGGAGCUCCUGCUGCAUGGUGGGGGUUGGAAAGUUUCGGCGGUUGGGGAUGGACUCGCGGCUUAUCAGCUUGUUGGUGGGGUAGUGGCUUACCAAGGCUUUGACGGGUAGCCGGCCUGAGAGGGUGACCGGCCACAUAGGGACUGAGAUACGGCCCAGACUCCUACGGGAGGCAGCAGUGGGGAAUAUUGCACAAUGGGCGGAAGCCUGAUGCAGCAACGCCGCGUGCGGGAUGACGGCCUUCGGGUUGUAAACCGCUUUCGCCUGUGACGAAGCGUGAGUGACGGUAAUGGGGAAAGAAGCACCGGCUAACUACGU
RNAcentral lists this ribosomal RNA (467 nucleotides) under uncultured bacterium. Its description in RNAcentral is "partial 16S ribosomal RNA". It matches the Rfam family "Bacterial small subunit ribosomal RNA", at positions 28 to 506 of the family's 1533-position model. The record is from RNAcentral.